This 427-nucleotide ribosomal RNA is filed under the name uncultured bacterium. RNAcentral's name for it is "bacterial SSU rRNA". It matches the Rfam family "Bacterial small subunit ribosomal RNA", at positions 355 to 774 of the family's 1533-position model. The record is from RNAcentral.
UGGGGAAUUUUGGACAAUGGGCGCAAGCCUGAUCCAGCCAUUCCGCGUGCAGGACGAAGGCCUUCGGGUUGUAAACUGCUUUUGUACGGAACGAAAAGCCCUUCUCUAAUACAGAGGGGUCAUGACGGUACCUGAAGAAUAAGCACCGGCUAACUACGUGCCAGCAGCCGCGGUAAUACGUAGGGUGCGAGCGUUAAUCGGAAUUACUGGGCGUAAAGCGUGCGCAGGCGGUUUAGUAAGACAGGCGUGAAAUCACCGGGCUCAACCUGGGAACUGCGCUUGUGACUGCUAAGCUAGAGUACGGCAGAGGGGGGUGGAAUUCCACGUGUAGCAGUGAAAUGCGUAGAUAUGCGGAGGAACACCGAUGGCGAAGGCAAUCCCCUGGGCCUGCACUGACGCUCAUGCACGAAAGCGUGGGGAGCAAACA